GUAUUUAGCUGCCAGGGGAGACACCAUACUCCCGAAGGUGGUUUUCCCAGGGUGAGGCUCAUCCAUUGCACUCCGGAUGUACUGACCUCUGUGAUUUCCCCAAAUGUGGGAAACUCAAACUGCACAAGUUGUGGUAGUGGGGGGGACUGCGUCUGUGCUUCCCCCUG
Small nuclear RNA from Echinops telfairi (small Madagascar hedgehog), 167 nucleotides. RefSeq annotates it as U1 spliceosomal RNA. The transcript has a single exon. The record is from RefSeq and is a predicted model, not a curated record. NCBI's taxonomy places the organism in Eukaryota, Metazoa, Chordata, Mammalia, Afrosoricida, Tenrecidae.